Arachis ipaensis is the source of this 559-nucleotide non-coding RNA. The record is from RefSeq and is a predicted model, not a curated record. Lineage: Eukaryota; Viridiplantae; Streptophyta; Magnoliopsida; Fabales; Fabaceae.
AUCAAGUAGAUUGAACAGCAUCAAAAUUUACCUGCUCAUGCAAAGCUUCUUUUAAAUGAGAAACAAGUACAACUCUAUUUGCUUCAACUAAUUUAAGGUUCUCUAUGCACUGUUUCAAGGUGCUACUCUGUUCUGCUGUAUGCUUACCAAUAGAGCACGCAAUGUCAACAUCGUUUUCCAUCUUUUUCAUGUGUUGAAUAGCAGACUUGGAUUUACUCAUCUCUGCAUCUUCAAUAGAUUGUUCAGUGAGCACCGAAUGAAAUGCAGAUACUAUUUUUUCUGCUGGACCUCCUAUGGACAAUUUCUGGCUUCAAUACAAUAUCACGACAAUGAGAUAUUUAAGGAAUAUUGCAACCCAGUUUGAGGGACGUAUCACCAAUAGAAUGAUUUAAGUUUAAAAUUGGAAGAGGCAGGAGUAGAGCUUAGUCUUACCAAUUUGAUGGAGCGAGAAUCCCUUUUAACAAUUUUUAAAGAACCAGAGCGUGAUCUCUUUUUGCUGAAUUGCAAUGGUGUAGGUGCUUCUUCUGCAAGCAUUAGAUCUUUAAGGUUCUUUGCCCGA